Molecule: transfer RNA, 86 nt
Filed under: Phaeovulum sp.
Lineage: Bacteria; Pseudomonadati; Pseudomonadota; Alphaproteobacteria; Rhodobacterales; Paracoccaceae
Description: tRNA-Leu
Rfam family: tRNA
About the family: Transfer RNA (tRNA) molecules are approximately 80 nucleotides in length. Their secondary structure includes four short double-helical elements and three loops (D, anti-codon, and T loops). Further hydrogen bonds mediate the characteristic L-shaped molecular structure. tRNAs have two regions of fundamental functional importance: the anti-codon, which is responsible for specific mRNA codon recognition, and the 3' end, to which the tRNAs corresponding amino acid is attached (by aminoacyl-tRNA synthetases). tRNAs cope with the degeneracy of the genetic code in two manners: having more than one tRNA (with a specific anti-codon) for a particular amino acid; and 'wobble' base-pairing, i.e. permitting non-standard base-pairing at the 3rd anti-codon position.
Source: RNAcentral
GCGGGCGUGGCGGAAUGGUAGACGCAUGGGACUUAAAAUCCCUCGGGCGAAAGCCCAUGCCGGUUCGAGUCCGGCCGCCCGCACCA